UGCAGUCGAGCGGCAAGGGGGAGCGAUCUCCCCUAGAGCGGCGGACUGGUGAGUAACGCGUGGGUAAUCUGCCUUUGGCAUGGGGAUAGCCACUAAAAAUAGUGGGUAAUACCGGAUACGUUCCACGAGGGGAGGACUUGUGGAAGAAAGGGGCUAUGGCGCCGGCCGAAGAUGACCUCGCGUCCCAUUAGCUAGUUGGUGAGGUAAGGGCCCACCAAGGCCAUGAUGGGUAGCCGGCCUGAGAGGGUGUACGGCCACACUGGGACUGAGAUACGGCCCAAACUCCUACGGGAGGCAGCAGCUAAGAAUAUUCCGCAAUGGACGAAAGUCUGACGGANCGACCCCGCGUGGAUGAAGAAGGCCAAAAGGUUGUAAAGUUCUUUUGCUGGGGAAAAAUAAGUGNGGAAGGGAAUGCCCGCACGAUGACAUGAACCGGUGAAUAACCCCCGGCCAACUAC
Molecule: ribosomal RNA, 458 nt
Filed under: uncultured bacterium
Lineage: Bacteria
Description: bacterial SSU rRNA
Rfam family: Bacterial small subunit ribosomal RNA
Source: RNAcentral